This 65-nucleotide transfer RNA is filed under the name Dipodomys ordii (Ord's kangaroo rat). It matches the Rfam family "tRNA". From Rfam's summary of the family: Transfer RNA (tRNA) molecules are approximately 80 nucleotides in length. Lineage: Eukaryota; Metazoa; Chordata; Mammalia; Rodentia; Heteromyidae. The record is from Rfam by way of RNAcentral.
GGUGGCUCAGUGAUAGAGCACUUGCCUUGCAAGCAUGAGGCCCUGGGUUCGAUUCCUCAGCACCU